RNAcentral lists this long non-coding RNA (870 nucleotides) under Homo sapiens (human). RNAcentral's name for it is "non-protein coding lnc-TMEM251-3:1". Lineage: Eukaryota; Metazoa; Chordata; Mammalia; Primates; Hominidae. The record is from RNAcentral.
UCUUUUGGUAUCUUCAUCUGUAAAGUGGGGAUAGAUGCCCCACCCAGAGCUGUUGAGAAGAUUUAAAGGGCCAGCAGAGAACUUGCCUGGAGGACAAAGUAUAUACAAGGGCAUGGCCAUCCUCAGGCUCACAGGAAGCCCCUUAUUUAGGGCUCACCCCAGGGCCCUGCAUCCUUCCCCUGAUUACAGCCUCCCCCAAACCAUUCUUCCUUCUGGCCUUCUGAGUUGGAGCUAGGUAAGGCUCGUCCUCACUGGGACUUCCAAGGUGAACACAAAUGUCCUCUGUCUCUAGCUCUCAACUCGACCACUCACUUGCUAUGUGACCUUGUAGGCCACUUAGCCUAUCGAGGCCUCAGAUCCUCUAUCUUACUUCAUAAGGUAAACCUUGCUCCAUGACAGGAGUUGAAAAUACAGCCAGGUGGGGUGGUGCACACCUGUAGUACCAACUACUUGGGAGGCUGAGAUGGGACGAUCGCUUGAGCCCAGGAGUUCGAGGCUGUAGUGCACGAUUAUCAUACCUAUGAAUAGCCUCCACACUCCAGCCUGGGCAACAUAGCGAGACCUCAUGUCUAAUAAAUAAAAAUUUAAAAGGCUGGGAAUGGCGGCACACCUGUAGUCCCAGCUACUCAGGAGGCUGCAGCAGGAGGAUUUCUUGAGCCCAGGAGUUUCAGGCCAUCCUGGGCAAUACUAUGAGACCACAUCUCAAAUAAAUAAAUAAAUAAACCUGCAACCCUCGUUUGCCUUCUUUGGGGUUAAAAAAAUACAAAAAAGAGGGGGCUAUGAGGUCUAAAAUGUGUGGUAUUAUGGGGGCAGUGGCGGAAUGGGGAAAGGGUAAGAGUAGUGAUGUCUCCCUUUGGAACAGGGAGAACA